UACGUAGGGCGCAAGCGUUGUCCGGAAUUAUUGGGCGUAAAGAGCUCGUAGGCGGCUUGUCACGUCGGGUGUGAAAGCCCGGGGCUUAACCCCGGGUCUGCAUUCGAUACGGGCUAGCUAGAGUGUGGUAGGGGAGAUCGGAAUUCCUGGUGUAGCGGUGAAAUGCGCAGAUAUCAGGAGGAACACCGGUGGCGAAGGCGGAUUUCUGGGCCAUUACUGACGCUGAGGAGCGAAAGCGUGGGGAGCGAACAGG
RNAcentral lists this ribosomal RNA (253 nucleotides) under uncultured bacterium. RNAcentral describes it as "partial 16S ribosomal RNA". It matches the Rfam family "Bacterial small subunit ribosomal RNA", at positions 524 to 776 of the family's 1533-position model. The record is from RNAcentral.